GUGUUUGUAACUUAAGUGGAAAAAGUGUUAAACUACGAAUUUAGAAAUGAAGGUUCAAAUCCUUCCAAACAUU
Molecule: transfer RNA, 73 nt
Filed under: Ceramothamnion japonicum
Lineage: Eukaryota; Rhodophyta; Florideophyceae; Ceramiales; Ceramiaceae
Description: Ceramium japonicum tRNA-Arg
Rfam family: tRNA
About the family: Transfer RNA (tRNA) molecules are approximately 80 nucleotides in length.
Source: RNAcentral